AUGCACGCUGGCGGCGUGCCUCAUCCAUGCAAGUCGAGCGAACAGACGAGGAGCUUGCUCCUCUGAUGUUAGCGGCGGACGGGUGAGUAACACGUGGAUAACCUACCUAUAAGACUGGGAUAACUUCGGGAAACCGGAGCUAAUACCGGAUAACAUGUUGAACCGCAUGGUUCAACAGUGAAAGACGGUCUUGCUGUCACUUAUAGAUGGAUCCGCGCCGCAUUAGCUAGUUGGUAAGGUAACGGCUUACCAAGGCAACGAUGCGUAGCCGACCUGAGAGGGUGAUCGGCCACACUGGAACUGAGACACGGUCCAGACUCCUACGGGAGGCAGCAGUAGGGAAUCUUCCGCAAUGGGCGAAAGCCUGACGGAGCAACGCCGCGUGAGUGAAGAAGGUCUUCGGAUCGUAAAACUCUGUUAUUAGGGAAGAACAAAUGUGUAAGUAACUAUGCACGUCUUGACGGUACCUAAUCAGAAAGCCACGGCUAACUACGUG
RNAcentral lists this ribosomal RNA (496 nucleotides) under uncultured bacterium. RNAcentral describes it as "partial 16S ribosomal RNA". It matches the Rfam family "Bacterial small subunit ribosomal RNA", at positions 29 to 507 of the family's 1533-position model. The record is from RNAcentral.